GAUGAAGAACGCAGCGAAAUGCGAUACGUAAUGUGAAUUGCAGAAUUCAGUGAAUCAUCGAAUCUUUGAACGCAUAUUGCGCUCUCUGGUAUUCCGGAGAGCAUGCUUGUUUGAGUAUCAGUAAACACCUCAACUCCCUUUUCUUUUUUGAAAUUGGAGCUGGACUUGAGUGAUCCCAACGCUUUCUUCCAAGAAAGUGGCGGGUUGCUUGAAAUGCAGGUGCAGCUGAACUUUUCUCUGAGCUAUAAGCAUAUCUAUUUAGUCUGCCUAAAAAACAGAUUAUUACCUUUGCUGCAGCUAACAUGAAGGAGACUAGUUCUUGUGCUGACUGAUGCAGGAUUCACAGAGACAGCUUCGGCUGACUUUGUAAACUCGAUCUCAAAUCAAGUAAGACUACCCGCUGAACUUAAGCAUAUCAAUAAGCGGAGGA
Molecule: unclassified non-coding RNA, 430 nt
Filed under: soil metagenome
Description: partial contains 5.8S ribosomal RNA, internal transcribed spacer 2, and large subunit ribosomal RNA
Rfam family: 5.8S ribosomal RNA (bases 1-120)
Source: RNAcentral